RNAcentral lists this ribosomal RNA (406 nucleotides) under uncultured bacterium. Its description in RNAcentral is "partial 16S ribosomal RNA". It matches the Rfam family "Bacterial small subunit ribosomal RNA", at positions 30 to 526 of the family's 1533-position model. The record is from RNAcentral.
AUUGAACGCUGGCGGCAGGCCUAACACAUGCAAGUCGAGCGAGCGGCGGACGGGUGAGUAAUGUCUGGGAAACUGCCUGAUGGAGGGGGAUAACUACUGGAAACGGUAGCUAAUACCGCAUACCAUCAGAUGUGCCCAGAUGGGAUUAGCUAGUAGGUGGGGUAACGGCUCACCUAGGCUACGAUCCCUAGCUGGUCUGAGAGGAUGACCAGUAACACUGGAACUGAGACACAAUCCAGUGUCCUACGGGAAGAAGCAGUGGGGAAGAUUGCAAAAUAGGCGGAGGCCUGAUGCAGCGAUGCCGCAUGUGUGAAGAAGGCCCUCGGGUUGUAAAUCACUUUAAGCGGGGAGACGUUACCCGCAGAAAAAGCACCGGCUUACUCCGUGCCAGUAGCGGCGAUUAUUC